Molecule: ribosomal RNA, 274 nt
Filed under: uncultured bacterium
Lineage: Bacteria
Description: partial 16S ribosomal RNA
Rfam family: Bacterial small subunit ribosomal RNA
Source: RNAcentral
AUACGGAGGGUGCAAGCGUUACUCGGAAUCACUGGGCGUAAAGCGCGCGCAGGCGGCUAUUUAAGUUGGAUGUGAAAGACUACGGCUCAACCGUAGAACUGCAUCCAAAACUAUUUAGCUAGAGUGUGGGAGAGGAAGAUGGAAUUAGUUGUGUAGGGGUAAAAUCCGUAGAGAUAACUAGGAAUACCAAAAGCGAAGGCAAUCUUCUGGAACACUACUGACGCUGAGGCGCGAAAGCGUGGGGAGCAAACAGGAUUAGAAACCCUAGUAGUCC